AGCGAACGCUGGCGGCAGGCCUAACACAUGCAAGUCGAACGAACCUUUCGGGGUUAGUGGCGGACGGGUGAGUAACACGUGGGAACGUGCCUUUAGGUUCGGAAUAACUCAGGGAAACUUGUGCUAAUACCGAAUGUGCCCUUCGGGGGAAAGAUUUAUCGCCUUUAGAGCGGCCCGCGUCUGAUUAGCUAGUUGGUGGAGGUAAUGGCUCACAAAGGCGACGAUCAGUAGCUGGUCUGAGAGGAUGAUCAGCAACAUUGGGACUGAGACACGGCCCAAACUCCUACGGGAGGAAGCAGUGGGGAAUCUUGCGCAAUGGGCGAAAGCCUGACGCAGCCAUGCCGCGUGAAUGAUGAAGGUCUUAGGAUUGUAAAAUUCUUUCACCGGGGACGAUAAUGACGGUACCCGGAGAAGAAGCCCCGGCUAACUUCGUG
Molecule: ribosomal RNA, 434 nt
Filed under: uncultured bacterium
Lineage: Bacteria
Description: partial 16S ribosomal RNA
Rfam family: Bacterial small subunit ribosomal RNA
Source: RNAcentral